Molecule: ribosomal RNA, 277 nt
Filed under: uncultured bacterium
Lineage: Bacteria
Description: partial 16S ribosomal RNA
Rfam family: Bacterial small subunit ribosomal RNA
Source: RNAcentral
UACUCCCGCCGGCGACCGGCGCACGGGUGAGUAACACGUAUGAAACCUGCCCGUAGCAGGGGGAUAAGCGGAAGAAAUUCCGUCUAAUACCGCGUAACAACCCGAGGAGGCAUCUCCUCGGGUUUAAAGGAAGCGAUUCCGGCUACGGAUGGUCAUGCGUCGCAUUAGCUAGUUGGCGGGGUAACGGCCCACCAAGGCGACGAUGCGUAGGGGUUCUGAGAGGAAGGUCCCCCACACUGGUACUGAGACACGGACCAGACUCCUACGGAAGGCAGCA